AUUUUUUCGUCUGCCGACGUUAAGUUUGAAUCACUCGGGAAUCGCGAUUAUAUGAAAUUUGAACAGAACUACAGUGGUACAGAGUUCUAUUCAUACAUAAUUUUAGAACAUAAUCACCAUGGAUAAGUGUAUUCUUUUUAGCAAAACAUCCAAUGUAUCGCCUCGCCGCCACAUUACGUUAAUUUUCAUUUGUAAAUAUAGAUUUCCAAAAAAUCAAUGAAAUAAAGACUAAAAAUCUUCGAAUUAAAUGAUUAUCCCAAUUUCUACCUGGCAUAGAAUCUGCGGCAAUCAUUUCUCAAUUAGUGAUUGUAAACAAUGCUCAGUAAAUUAGUAAACACGGUCAGAGGCUGUCUCAAAACAUAAUCCAAACCACUUGUCUGGGAUAGAGAAGUAAAAUAAAUUUUAGUUAUUUACGGCAACAUCGGUACUACUCUGAGCACGACUAGGAAAUCGCAUCUAAGAGAAAACUUUGUUUCUCCAACGAUGGGUUAGCAGAAAAUGAACAGACGAAUAAAGGGUUUCGAGGACUUACAGUUGAUGAUUUUGAUUAGCCCAGAAAAGCCUUACAUACUGAUUAAUGUCUAAUUCACACACACUUAUUUCAUAGAGUGGAUUAUACUUAUUAUUGUUUUCGAAAUUGAAAUAAUAUAUUAUGUACCACAUACAAGGAACUAAGAAGUGGAGCCAGUGUAUUGACAAUUUUUCAGACGUUGACUUUCUUGAAGAUAAUUCUACAGACUCAGAUGAAGCCAUAUAAUAUUGGAGUGAAUUGUGCAACUCAAAGGUAAUACAAUUUUGCUGAGCAAGAAUUAAAUUUUAAUAAAGCAGAGAGCCUCAAAGAAACACAUAACUACUUUGGGCAUUGGUAUCUUUCUUAAAGGGAAAGUGCAUCUAGUUGGAUACGUUAAACAGGUCGUCAAACCCGUUCCCAUUUACAACGAGGAAAUACAAUCUUCAUUGUAAAAAAGAGUAUGCAAUUACCAAAAAGAUUCAGUGGUUGUUAUUAAAAUACUUCAACUAUCGACAAUGGACAUAAUUGAUGAAGACUUAUAUUAUAUUGUGAUAGAUAUAGAUUUCCAAAAAAUCAAUGAAAUAAAGACUAAAAAUCUUCGAAUUAAAUGAUUAUCCCAAUUUCUACCUGGCAUAGAAUCUGCGGCAAUCAUUUCUCAAUUAGUGAUUGUAAACAAUGCUCAGUAAAUUAGUAAACACGGUCAGAGGCUGUCUCAAAACAUAAUCCAAACCACUUGUCUGGGAUAGAGAAGUAAAAUAAAUUUUAGUUAUUUACGGCAACAUCGGUACUACUCUGAGCACGACUAGGAAAUCGCAUCUAAGAGAAAACUUUGUUUCUCCAACGAUGGGUUAGCAGAAAAUGAACAGACGAAUAAAGGGUUUCGAGGACUUACAGUUGAUGAUUUUGAUUAGCCCAGAAAAGCCUUACAUACUGAUUAAUGUCUAAUUCACACACACUUAUUUCAUAGAGUGGAUUAUACUUAUUAUUGUUUUCGAAAUUGAAAUAAUAUAUUAUGUACCACAUACAAGGAACUAAGAAGUGGAGCCAGUGUAUUGACAAUUUUUCAGACGUUGACUUUCUUGAAGAUAAUUCUACAGACUCAGAUGAAGCCAUAUAAUAUUGGAGUGAAUUGUGCAACUCAAAGGUAAUACAAUUUUGCUGAGCAAGAAUUAAAUUUUAAUAAAGCAGAGAGCCUCAAAGAAACACAUAACUACUUUGGGCAUUGGUAUCUUUCUUAAAGGGAAAGUGCAUCUAGUUGGAUACGUUAAACAGGUCGUCAAACCCGUUCCCAUUUACAACGAGGAAAUACAAUCUUCAUUGUAAAAAAGAGUAUGCAAUUACCAAAAAGAUUCAGUGGUUGUUAUUAAAAUACUUCAACUAUCGACAAUGGACAUAAUUGAUGAAGACUUAUAUUAUAUUGUGAUAGAUAUAGAUUUCCAAAAAAUCAAUGAAAUAAAGACUAAAAAUCUUCGAAUUAAAUGAUUAUCCCAAUUUCUACCUGGCAUAGAAUCUGCGGCAAUCAUUUCUCAAUUAGUGAUUGUAAACAAUGCUCAGUAAAUUAGUAAACACGGUCAGAGGCUGUCUCAAAACAUAAUCCAAACCACUUGUCUGGGAUAGAGAAGUAAAAUAAAUUUUAGUUAUUUACGGCAACAUCGGUACUACUCUGAGCACGACUAGGAAAUCGCAUCUAAGAGAAAACUUUGUUUCUCCAACGAUGGGUUAGCAGAAAAUGAACAGACGAAUAAAGGGUUUCGAGGACUUACAGUUGAUGAUUUUGAUUAGCCCAGAAAAGCCUUACAUACUGAUUAAUGUCUAAUUCACACACACUUAUUUCAUAGAGUGGAUUAUACUUAUUAUUGUUUUCGAAAUUGAAAUAAUAUAUUAUGUACCACAUACAAGGAACUAAGAAGUGGAGCCAGUGUAUUGACAAUUUUUCAGACGUUGACUUUCUUGAAGAUAAUUCUACAGACUCAGAUGAAGCCAUAUAAUAUUGGAGUGAAUUGUGCAACUCAAAGGUAAUACAAUUUUGCUGAGCAAGAAUUAAAUUUUAAUAAAGCAGAGAGCCUCAAAGAAACACAUAACUACUUUGGGCAUUGGUAUCUUUCUUAAAGGGAAAGUGCAUCUAGUUGGAUACGUUAAACAGGUCGUCAAACCCGUUCCCAUUUACAACGAGGAAAUACAAUCUUCAUUGUAAAAAAGAGUAUGCAAUUACCAAAAAGAUUCAGUGGUUGUUAUUAAAAUACUUCAACUAUCGACAAUGGACAUAAUUGAUGAAGACUUAUAUUAUAUUGUGAUAGAUAUAGAUUUCCAAAAAAUCAAUGAAAUAAAGACUAAAAAUCUUCGAAUUAAAUGAUUAUCCCAAUUUCUACCUGGCAUAGAAUCUGCGGCAAUCAUUUCUCAAUUAGUGAUUGUAAACAAUGCUCAGUAAAUUAGUAAACACGGUCAGAGGCUGUCUCAAAACAUAAUCCAAACCACUUGUCUGGGAUAGAGAAGUAAAAUAAAUUUUAGUUAUUUACGGCAACAUCGGUACUACUCUGAGCACGACUAGGAAAUCGCAUCUAAGAGAAAACUUUGUUUCUCCAACGAUGGGUUAGCAGAAAAUGAACAGACGAAUAAAGGGUUUCGAGGACUUACAGUUGAUGAUUUUGAUUAGCCCAGAAAAGCCUUACAUACUGAUUAAUGUCUAAUUCACACACACUUAUUUCAUAGAGUGGAUUAUACUUAUUAUUGUUUUCGAAAUUGAAAUAAUAUAUUAUGUACCACAUACAAGGAACUAAGAAGUGGAGCCAGUGUAUUGACAAUUUUUCAGACGUUGACUUUCUUGAAGAUAAUUCUACAGACUCAGAUGAAGCCAUAUAAUAUUGGAGUGAAUUGUGCAACUCAAAGGUAAUACAAUUUUGCUGAGCAAGAAUUAAAUUUUAAUAAAGCAGAGAGCCUCAAAGAAACACAUAACUACUUUGGGCAUUGGUAUCUUUCUUAAAGGGAAAGUGCAUCUAGUUGGAUACGUUAAACAGGUCGUCAAACCCGUUCCCAUUUACAACGAGGAAAUACAAUCUUCAUUGUAAAAAAGAGUAUGCAAUUACCAAAAAGAUUCAGUGGUUGUUAUUAAAAUACUUCAACUAUCGACAAUGGACAUAAUUGAUGAAGACUUAUAUUAUAUUGUGAUAGAUAUAGAUUUCCAAAAAAUCAAUGAAAUAAAGACUAAAAAUCUUCGAAUUAAAUGAUUAUCCCAAUUUCUACCUGGCAUAGAAUCUGCGGCAAUCAUUUCUCAAUUAGUGAUUGUAAACAAUGCUCAGUAAAUUAGUAAACACGGUCAGAGGCUGUCUCAAAACAUAAUCCAAACCACUUGUCUGGGAUAGAGAAGUAAAAUAAAUUUUAGUUAUUUACGGCAACAUCGGUACUACUCUGAGCACGACUAGGAAAUCGCAUCUAAGAGAAAACUUUGUUUCUCCAACGAUGGGUUAGCAGAAAAUGAACAGACGAAUAAAGGGUUUCGAGGACUUACAGUUGAUGAUUUUGAUUAGCCCAGAAAAGCCUUACAUACUGAUUAAUGUCUAAUUCACACACACUUAUUUCAUAGAGUGGAUUAUACUUAUUAUUGUUUUCGAAAUUGAAAUAAUAUAUUAUGUACCACAUACAAGGAACUAAGAAGUGGAGCCAGUGUAUUGACAAUUUUUCAGACGUUGACUUUCUUGAAGAUAAUUCUACAGACUCAGAUGAAGCCAUAUAAUAUUGGAGUGAAUUGUGCAACUCAAAGGUAAUACAAUUUUGCUGAGCAAGAAUUAAAUUUUAAUAAAGCAGAGAGCCUCAAAGAAACACAUAACUACUUUGGGCAUUGGUAUCUUUCUUAAAGGGAAAGUGCAUCUAGUUGGAUACGUUAAACAGGUCGUCAAACCCGUUCCCAUUUACAACGAGGAAAUACAAUCUUCAUUGUAAAAAAGAGUAUGCAAUUACCAAAAAGAUUCAGUGGUUGUUAUUAAAAUACUUCAACUAUCGACAAUGGACAUAAUUGAUGAAGACUUAUAUUAUAUUGUGAUAGGUACCUAUUUCCUUUAAUUUGUGUACUUAUUUUUCCUAUGUUUCCCCCACCACCCAUCAGAAAGUAAUUAGUUACUUUAUUUAACCAAAAAAAAACUAUACCUAUACACUGUGCAGUUAUGUUUGUGAAUAAAAUUAUUUUGUCAAUGACCAAUUUAUGAAAACUCUAUUUUCAAAUUGUAUAACAAAAAAGAAAAGUAGGUAGGUUACGUUAGCUUUGUACCUGCUUAAAAUCAUUAUAAGUUAUACUAUCAUACUUUUCAUAUUUGUCGUAUUGAUAGUGUAUAUGUAUAUUUAA
Metopolophium dirhodum (rose-grain aphid) is the source of this 4847-nucleotide long non-coding RNA. RefSeq lists it as uncharacterized. Lineage: Eukaryota; Metazoa; Arthropoda; Insecta; Hemiptera; Aphididae. The record is from RefSeq and is a predicted model, not a curated record. The transcript is spliced from 26 exons.